GUGCGUGUCGGUUAUAUCGAAAAAAAAGGAAAGUGCGUGCGAGAGCAGACCGAGCGGCGCCGGCGCGCCUCACCAGGUCUGCCUACGAGGGCUCCUAGUCCUAGGCGUGAGCGGUGGAGCACCCACCGGUAGAUUGAAGUUGGAGCAGCGCCGACGCGCACCUGACCAGAUCGAGGCGGCGAGGGUUCCUGGUGGUGAGCGGCGGAGCACCCAUCGGUGGAUUGGGGACUCGAACGGCGGCUGCGCGCACCCUAACCAGAUCGAGGCGACGAGAGGCCCUGGGAGUUGGGGCGAGCAGCGGCGGGGAUCAUCGGAGCAGCUUCGCUCAGGAGUCCUGAUAAUUACUUUCCCCUGUUUUCUGAAGAAAAAAAAAAGGUUAUGGACUUCGAUAGGGCCAUGGCAAGGAGUGCAGCCUGCGAUCGGUUGGGAGCCUCCGUGUCGCGCUCCAGCGGAAACGUGUCUAGCGACACCAAAGCCGUCCUCUGCCUUGGGGCAGCCGCUGCUUUGGGCUGGGCAGCGUGGAGGUACUACCAACGUCAUGUGUGCCUCCAGAAGUUCGGCCGGGACAUGACGGCAUUGGCUGGAAAAGCUGAUCCGGUGAUUGGCCGCGAUGACGAGAUUGACCGCGUCAUCUCCAUCCUCUGCCGCCGGACCAAGAACUGCGUUGCGCUCGUCGGUGCUGCAGGGGUAGGCAAGACGGCAGUCGCCGAGGCCCUCGCCCAGCGCAUUGCCGCCGGGAUGGUCCCUGACGUUCUCGCCGGUGCGAGCGUCAUUGAGCUCGAUCUCGGGGAAUUGGUGGCUGGGACCAAGUACCGUGGCUCGUUCGAGAGACGCAUGAAGGACGUGAUAAAGCAGGUGGAGGCUUCGAACGGCAAGGUGAUUCUAUUCAUCGACGAGAUGCACAUGCUUCUUGGUGCAGGGCGGUCCAGGAGGAGUGCCAUGGGUGCUGCCAACAUGCUGAAGCCAGCGUUGGCCCGUGGGCGUAUUCGCUGCGUGGGUGCGACAACUUUCGAUGAGUACCGUAAGUAUGUCGAGAAGGAUGCCGCACUGGAGCGGCGGUUCCAAAAGGUGCAGGUCGAGGAGCCGAGCAUGCACACAACCAUUGAGAUUCUGCAGGGGCUAAAGAAAUGGCAUGAAAAGUACCAUGGCUUGGAAAUCCAGGAUGCAGCUCUUGUUGCUGCUGCACAGCUUGCUGGCCGCUAUAUCACUGGUCGUCAGUUUCCUGACAAGGCAAUUGAUCUGAUUGAUGAGGCAUGCGCCACUGCAAACAAAAAGAUGAGGCAGAUUAACCGCCAAAAGGAGGAAAUGAAGACUACAAAAAGUAGCUCUGCAAAUGCAAUGAAGGAAGCAAUUAUCACCCCAGAUCAUGUUGCACAAGUUGUGAGCCGAUGGACUGGAAUUCCCGUCACCGUGCUUAAUCAAGAGGAGAAGGAUAAGUUAAUCUGUCUAGCGGACAGACUGCAUGAGCGAGUUGUUGGCCAGGAUGAAGCCGUCAACCUAGUUGCAGAAGCAGUGUUACGCUCUAGAGCUGGCCUUGAUCAUCCUGGCCAACCCAUAGGCUCUUUCCUCUUCUUGGGCUCAACUGGUGUUGGAAAGACAGAGCUCGCAAAAGCUCUUGCCGAACAGCUAUUUGAUAGUGAGAAGAUGUUGGUUCGCUUUGACAUGUCUGAAUAUGUUGGGAGUAGUUCUGUGUUGCGUCUCGUUGGAGCACCUCCAAGCUAUCGUGGCUAUGAAGAUGGUGGACAACUGACCGAGAAAGUUAGGAGGAACCCGUACAGUGUCAUCCUUUUUGAUGAGGUGGAGAAAGCAGAUCCCUCGGUGUUCAAUAUUUUUCUUCAAAUCCUUGAUGAUGGCAGGUUGACUGAUGGCAGAGGCCAGACUGUAGAUUUCAAGAAUACCAUCAUCAUCAUGACCUCAAAUCUUGGAUCUGAUUACCUAAUAUCAAAGACGGCUAGAGAAAACACAACGGAAUCUACACGGGACCUUCUCAUGGAACAGGUUUGCAAGCACUUCAAGCCUGAGCUUCUCAACAGACUGAGUGAGAUCGUCAUAUUUGAGCCGCUUUCGCAUGACAAACUGAAGGAGAUAACGAAAAUCCAGAUGAAGAGCAUUAUGGCCAGAGUAGCUACCAAGGGCAUCUCUCUUUCUAUUAGUGAUGCCGCAUUGGACACUAUCUUAUCGGAAUCAUAUAGCCCAACCUACGGUGCAAGACCCAUAAGGAGGUGGAUGCAAAAGAAUGUGAUGACAACGCUUUCCAAGAUGUUGGUCAAAGGACAAGCCAGUGAAGGCUCAACAAUCUGCAUUGAAGCUACUGACGACAAGAAGGGGCUGGAGUAUGAAGUGGUGAAGAAGGAGGCGAGCCUACACUAACCUGGUCUAUCGAUAUUGGAGUUCACCUGCUACAGGCCGAAGCCGCCAAAUCCCGCCAACGCAACCCUAGACCCCUGCUCAUACACUGACUCGCUCGGAAGGCACGUGCGUGAGGGGAGAGGGCCACCAGUACCAGUGCCCGGCGCAACCAAUGUGAAAGGCAACCCUUCCAUCCCUUGCAUCAACUGUAAGACCCCCGUCUGAAAAAAGUUGUCUCAACAUUGAAUUGAAGACUACUUUUCUUCUUGUUGUUUUGAAACUUGCUGCUUGAGCGGGGUGCCACCGACGACAACGGCUGCCCAGUUUCCAGCCCUGCGACACCACCUGGCUCUGUUUCUUUGAAGAAUCGGCUGCGACUGUUGCUGGCCUCGCUCGCCGCGCUUCAUGCUGUGCUUGUGUUAUCGAGUGACAGUACGCUCUCGCCUGUGACAGUACGCUAUGUAUUGUGUGUACUGCGUAUGCCAGUUCACAAGACAAGAUUGACGUGAACAAAGCAAAUAACGGGAUUU
This is an RNA transcript of Triticum aestivum (bread wheat), 2879 nucleotides long. It is a transcript of the gene named chaperone protein ClpB1, with no coding region annotated. The record is from RefSeq and is a predicted model, not a curated record. The transcript has 10 exons. NCBI's taxonomy places the organism in Eukaryota, Viridiplantae, Streptophyta, Magnoliopsida, Poales, Poaceae.